GUGGAUACCUAAAAAGGGACGCGGGAAUUUUUUGGUUGUGCAAAACUUUGAGCGACCAACAACUCGUCGCGUAAAACUCUAAAAAUUUGGGCGAGCACCAAAAAUGGGAUAUGAGAAUUUUUAUUAUUUUUAUUUUAUAAAUUUUUUUUAAGACUUUGCACGACAAAUAUUUUUCAUCGCGCCAAGUGAUACGGUUUUUAAAACCAAAAUAACUCCUCCACCAUUUUCUCAAUGUCUUUCUCUACUCUUACCUCUCCUCUCUCUUUCCCUCUCCCCAAAUCCAACCCUUUCUCUCACACUCACUCCUCUCACUUAAUCUCUCAUCUCUCUCUUCACUAUCUCUCACUCUCACUCAUUCUCUCACUAUCUUCUCUAAUUCUCUCACACUCACUUCUCCCUCUCAUUCUCACUCACUCUCAA
RNAcentral lists this long non-coding RNA (420 nucleotides) under Prunus persica (peach). RNAcentral's name for it is "long non-coding RNA (PPER_LNC000735)". The record is from RNAcentral. Lineage: Eukaryota; Viridiplantae; Streptophyta; Magnoliopsida; Rosales; Rosaceae.